CUGAAACUAGUGCAUGAAUUAUAGUGGUUCUUUUACUUGUCUGUGACAUCACUGCAACAGCUGACACUAAUGAAUUGAGUCAUCCAUCCAUCCAUCCCCUUGUUUUUCACUGAGAGCUUCCUGGCAUAUGCAGCCUCUUGCUAUUUUUUCCUCUUCACCUUCAGUUCUUGGCAAACAGCUCGACACUUAAGAAGAACACUUAACUCUAGAACAAGAGCAAUUAAAAACUAAAGCAGAUAUGAAGGUGACUUUUUCUACAAAUUUGGACACUCAAGUAAAACUAAGAGAACAAGGGAUCAAGUGAGGCAAUUUAACAAGAGAG
Molecule: long non-coding RNA, 322 nt
Filed under: Monodelphis domestica (gray short-tailed opossum)
Lineage: Eukaryota; Metazoa; Chordata; Mammalia; Didelphimorphia; Didelphidae
Description: lncRNA (ENSMODG00000038257.1)
Source: RNAcentral